Molecule: long non-coding RNA, 2496 nt
Organism: Solanum lycopersicum (tomato)
Lineage: Eukaryota; Viridiplantae; Streptophyta; Magnoliopsida; Solanales; Solanaceae
Source: RefSeq, a predicted model, not a curated record
UUACACUUAAUUAUCCUUCCUUAGUCAUUUCUUCAAAUUCAUUGCAACCCAUCCAAAGGACCCAAGUUUUGGUGAUAUCAUUUCAGCCAUCUCCAAUUCCUCUAUGACCCAUUCCAUUUUAAUUAAUUUCAGAUAACCCAACUCCUUAUAUCUCCCCGUCCGGCCCAUUUUUGCUUUCUUUUCCCUUCACGAAGAAACCCAGCAUGAGUAUCGCAGCGACAACAAUGACCAAACGACAUCCUCACAGCCUUGAAUUGCAACAAUAUGGAGCGUCGAAAUUUGUGGGAAAGCAAUAGCUUUUUGCAUCGUCUUCCUCACCGCUCAUACAACAGUAUUUGGGCGAGUUGUACAACAAAAAAGGCUGCCAUUUCGUCCUAGCAGCUGCGAGGUUGUGCCACAUAGAAAGGGAAGGACGUUUGAAUCGAUCAAAAACGUUCAUUCCUCUUUCCUCUUCCGGAAUGGGGUUGAUAGCUUCAGAAAAUUCCGCUUGAGGUUCAAAUUUGUGGUGGAAGUUUCCAGAAAUUCAUCGUCUCUGGUUCACUGCCCAGGAAAAGGUAAAUCCAUUUGUUUUUUUACUUUAACUCGUUGAUCAGUCGUUUGUUUUUCUGCAAGCUAGAGUAUCCUGUUGAUUCUUCUAUUUCUUUUUGUUUGGUUACUACCGUCCAUGACUUAUUGCUAAUGGUUUGAUGAAAGUCUGUCGGGUUUCAAGUAGAAUAUUUUUAGUUUAUUAAUGUAAGAAAUGAAUCCAUCAUACGAGUUGCCCGUCUUAAAAUAUCUAUGGAGGCUAGGAAUGAAAGGUCAGUCUGUUUGCUUUCGUUUUUCAUGAGAAUUCACUCGUUUGUUUGUUCACUAUUGGGAUUGCUCUUGGAAUAUUUCGAGUAUCGUGAUUUUAAUUUGUUUAAUCGAGAAUAUGGUUUAAGUAUGUACAUGUGGGAUGCGUAUGCUUUGAAUUAUUAUUAUUUUUUAUUUUUUAGUCUGCAAAGCGUUACUUCCCAACUUACUCUCAUGUGUUCAUGGCUAUAUUUUAAUUGUUUUCAAAUCACUAUGCUCAUCUUAGGCAUGUAUCGCUUCUUUGUUAUUUAUUCUUCUCCAUUUUUUCUAGUCUUGAACUCCAUUGUUUUUGUUUUCAUUUUCUGAAACUCAUCUUGGUUGACUUUUUAUACAUAUAAGCAUGUAUAUAGAUUCAUGUCUGAGAUGUUAUAGUUUUCUUUGUGCUUAACAGACCUCCUUCCCUAUAGAAGACUUAUAUCUUGAUUUUUCUAUAUGUUUGCCUAUUUUUUUUCUUUCUUACUAUUAAAAUGCUUUCCCCUGUUUAGUUAAAAGGGCUGAUUUAGGCUUAUCUUUUUUUUUCUAUUUCUCCUCCUUUUCAGCGUAUAUCCAUAGUUUGUCGAGUGUAUUUGCUGCCUGCUUAUUUAACCUGAAGCUAAGUGUUUAUAUUAAUUUUGUUUGUCAUAUUUCCUUCCCCAUUUUCUUUAUCUAAAACGAGCUAAGUCUUGAAGGGAUAGGAAUCAUGUGUUGUUUACAAUGAUCCGUUUUCUUCUUAAGUUAUUAACUUUUCAUUUUAUGCAUAUAUAUUUGUCAUAUUAUAGUAAGUUUGUUAGUCCCUUUUAAAAAAAUGCAUAUCCAUAUUUCUUCCGUUGUGUUGCUUUUAUUUCUUAUUUGUGAUAAAACUCAUUGUUUGUUUAUCCAACACCCUAAUACAUUAAUUGAAUAUGAUUUCUUUUGCUGUCUUGGUUUAUUGGUCGGAGGGUGUCAGAAUUAUAUUUUCUAGAUGUAUUCUUUUCUCAAGGUAACUCAAUUUGAGCUCAUUAAUUUAUUUCUUCUUUUCUUGUCGUAUGUGAAAUUCAUUCGAGUUCAUUUGGACUUCGCUCCCUGCUCUAUUUGUUGGUAACAGAGCUUAUACGUGACAAAUUAUUUGAGUUUCAUAUUUUGUUUGAGUCAAAAAUCACUUAAAAAUGCAAUGAUGUCCUAUCUUUUAGUGCUAUCGGUGCGUGGGUUUAAACCCUUUGGUAAGUUUACAUCAUUUCUUAGUGUGCUCCUAUUAGAACAUGGUAGAUAUAGCCUUUAGAAUAUGGUAGUGUGAAUUCUGUUUUAUUUGGGUGUUUUCUUACAUUAACUACAACUCUUACUUACUGUUUCUUUUGUGUUUUGCAUGUGAAAUAUGACCGGGUCCUCAUGGACCAUUAUCUAUGCAUUUUCCUAAUGGAACACAAAGGCUCAAAUCUCCAUAUCAGUUAGUCUAUCAAAAUGAAAAAUAAGUUACGGAAAAGGUGAACAGGUCUAGAUUUGAAAAAUACGCGCAAAUGAAGAAGUCGAAGAUUUGAAGAAGUUAUUCAAAAAUAUUGUAUUUUGUUAUUUUUGGGCCUAAGCCCUUUUGUAUUAUUAUUAUCUUGUUAGUUUAGGACAUGUAAAAAUCGAAUGGGCCUAAGACCCAAAAGAAAUGGGUCCAAAAACCGGUUCAGGAGGACAGAAAUCGGAUUUGGACCUCUCUCUCUC